Long non-coding RNA from Magallana angulata, 1645 nucleotides. RefSeq lists it as uncharacterized. Lineage: Eukaryota; Metazoa; Mollusca; Bivalvia; Ostreida; Ostreidae. The transcript is spliced from 3 exons. The record is from RefSeq and is a predicted model, not a curated record.
AUUUUGUUUAUAUAUCAGUCCGACGUGUACGUCUUACUUCCCGGCUUGUUUAACGCGUUUGUAUUUUAAUUUCAUAAGUAUUCUUAACGUACUGUUCAUUGCAUGACCAAUCAGUGCACAUGUGUAACUGUAAAAUAAUUGCCAUCAAUUCAUCGUAGUUGUAAAUUCACCGUACGGGUGAACGCUGUUAACCGGACCCCGUAAAUUGAUCGGCAUCUAAUUAUAUUUGUGAUUUCUGUGUGUUCAUGCAGAACCUGCUCUGUGAUGAACAUAAUAUUUUCACACCUCUAUAUUUUGAAUAAGAAAAUGACCGUGCUUAGAAUCGCGGUGAAAAUUGGACAAGUCAAGACUAACUUGUCAGUAAACUAUAUAUGGCUCUAUAUCAUAUUUAGUUUGGCAAAAUCAUCAGAACAUUUGAAUAAAAUAUAGUUAAAGACAAAAUCUGAUACAUAUCUCUCAUUAAAACUUGUUUAAUUUCAUUAAACAUUUGUAAACAAACGGUCGGCCAUUUUUUUUUGGUUAAUCACGUGUUACAAAUACAAUUCGCCAAUACUUUGUCGUAUUUAACCAGGAAAUACUGACUCCGACAGUUCUUGUUUAAAAUAAAUAUACAUGUUAAAAGUAUACUAUUCGGUAAAAAAUGAUAAUUUUGAUUAAACAUUAUUCAUUUUAAACUAUCCCAAGAUGCACUUUUUCAAGAUUUAGCGGGUUCUGAUUGGUCAGUAUUGGCGCACUUUAUGAUUCCGAGCGAAGGUUAAAAUGGACAAGAAGGUGCUGUUGUAAAAUGGAGAAUUGAGAAGCAUUAAUAGCCUCUACAACAAGGAGAUAAUGCAGGAACGAAGAACUCAUGUCAAGCAUUGACAGCAUACAAAGUCAAUGUUUCCGGUGAUUAGUUGCAUCCUCUGUUCGGUGAUUCGGGUGAAUGUUUUGACCAGCUGGACGAUGUGAACGCAAGAUAAAUAGAACAGACAUAAAGUACAGCCCAGUGAAAGGAACAAGUUCAUCGCAAGAAGAAGAAUUUUAAUGCUAACACUGUCCAGAACUACUAAGUCUGCUGUAGCCAUGAUGUGAUCAUAUGAGUGCUUCACUGGUCUGGGCAAUGCUCGAAAGUCCCCCAAAAAGGCCUACUUCCAUAAACUACGACUCGGGUUACAUCAACAACAGCCAAGGACACUCCUUAUUGAUUCGAAUGGACACAUCUUUACGACCCGACUAAACCUCUGCAGAACAAGACUUUUUAACUGUAAAGUAUUCUCAUUUCAAAAAACCUAUAAACUAUAAAAGUACUUUUUUUAUAUGAUCAAAUACCAGUAUAUUACAAUGUCUGUCUGUAAGCUAGAAUCUUAGAAAAUCACAUGGUUUUGACAUAUUAAAUGAUUGAUUAGACCUUGCAGAUAUUAACUUUCAUUUUCUUAAAUAAUUUGUUAUAUUUGAAAAUAUUGCAUAAAAUAUUAGACUCCAUUUAACAUAUAUCCUCACACCUCCAAGUUGAUAAGUGUUAACUACUUUUUUUUCCAUUUUCUUUGUUUAAACAUUUAUUGAUAAUUUAGUUUUUAUUUGCAGCAAUAUAUGAAAAAUUAAGAAACCAAUCUUAAAUGUAAAAACACUGCAUUAGGAGAUGAAUAUAUGGGUCAUAGAAAUGAUA